UUGAAAAUGAAACCUUUAUCUCUAUUUAUUAUUUUUCUGGCCAUCGUUUUGACAACAAGCUACGUUCAUGCCUUUACCAGAAACAUUUUUCCAGAGGAUUUCCUCUUUGGAGCCGCCACUUCUGCUUAUCAGAGGGAAGGAGCUGUCAAUGAAGAUAGCGUCUUGAAUACUUUCUCACACUCUGGUAAUUUUAUUGCGAUUUUGUUGAGCCAUUCGUUUAUAUAAGUUUCUUUAGUCACUCUUGUUCGAAACUCGAAAAAAAUAAUAGAGUUAGAGGUAAUGGAGAUAUAGCAUCUGAUGGGUAGCACAUUUACAAGGAAGAUGUUAAGCUCAUGGCAGAAAUGGGCUUAGAAUCAUUCAGAUUCUCAAUCACCUGGGCAGGAAGAUGUUAAGCUCUCGUUCUCCCGGUUUCUUUUUUUUCUUGCAAGUAACGAUGUUGUUUUAAGAUCUCUUUAAACGGUUUUUAUUGUCUGUGUGACUUUUCAGAUGGAAGAGGAUUCAUUAAGCCAAAAGGCCUAUUGUUUUACAAGAACCUCAGUACCUCACCAAAGAACAUGGAAUCGAACCACACGUUACGCUAUAUAAUUAUGACCAUCCUCAGUCUAUUGAAGAUGAGUACGGAGGAUGGCUCAACCGCAAAAUCAUAAGACUUCACUGCUUAUGACAGAUGUAUGCUUUAGAGAGUUUGGGGAGGAUGUGAAGCUAUGGACUACAAUAAAGGAAGUUACAAUAUUCUCAGAGGAAGAGUCAGAGCAAGUUAAAGGAUCAUCUGAGUUUCUAGGAAUAUUCACUACACGACAUUCUCAGUCACAAACCGACCCUCACUGUAACGCUUCCAAACCGUCCCACCAGCCGGACAAACCGCGGACCGGCCUGGAGGUCACCACAGUGAACAACUGUCCGCGAUCUGGCCGAGGUUCCACCAACAAAUUAGGAUCCCCAACCAGUCCACUGACAGCCGCCUACCCUCUGCGUAUGUACCUUAGGCUUUUCAACCUUCAGAACAAACGCGGCGUUGUGCUGAUCUGGACUAGACCGUACCAUUUCCACUUGUCCACAUAUAUAUAAUUUUUUUUUGAUUUAUUACUUAAGUAUAAUGUUUACAAAUCAACAAAACACGAAAAUAACAGUUGGAUCAAUUUUGGGGAAAAACAUGUAAAGAAAACAUAGAUUUUGCAAUAAAACACGAAAACAUCCUAUUUGGUUUCUUAA
Molecule: non-coding RNA, 1212 nt
Organism: Camelina sativa (false flax)
Lineage: Eukaryota; Viridiplantae; Streptophyta; Magnoliopsida; Brassicales; Brassicaceae
Source: RefSeq, a predicted model, not a curated record